RNA transcript from Arachis duranensis, 3320 nucleotides. It is a transcript of the gene named CASP-like protein 2B1, with no coding region annotated. Lineage: Eukaryota; Viridiplantae; Streptophyta; Magnoliopsida; Fabales; Fabaceae. The record is from RefSeq and is a predicted model, not a curated record. The transcript is spliced from 6 exons.
UACUACUUGUAUAAUGACCGUGGCUCCUGAAGCCACGCGUCAUUCUCUCAAUUAACCAGAAUAAAAAAUCUCUCCUAUUAUCUAUCUAUCUAUCUUUCACUGCAAUUUCUCUCUCUCCCUUUUGAAACUCUAGAUCCCCCCUUCUGCUUCGUUCUCUCCUCCAUAGCCCACAAACUCAUUCUGGUCCAUAUAAUCGCUGCCAUCCACGCUCUCUUUAUGGCUCUCCCUGGUUCUCAAAACCUCAUUUCAGCAAGCCAUAUAUCUCCAUUUGAAAAGCCAUCUCUUAAACACCAUUUUCGUCAACCCCCAUCUGAAAACCCUAACUCACCGAGCUGAGCGGAAUCUUCGUCUCAGAUCACAAUCACGGCGAUGGCGCUGUUAGUUUCAGCUGGUGAAAUGCCGGCGAUGCUGGGCGACUAAGAUAUCUGUUGCGUGGUUGAUGCGCUCUCGAACGUCAACAGCCUUGGUGAUACAUGUUGGGUCGAGAUCUCAACCAGCGCUCCCCCGUGAAGGAUUAAGAAGAUUGGUUUCCGUAUGUACUGUCGCGGUAAAAAAACCUCUACCUUUAUGAUUUUGGAAGAAAUCUGACCAUUCUGGUAGUUGGUAUAGGAGAUUUGCAGCGUCGCCUUUGUGCCUUGAAUCUUCCCCAUUUCGUUGGGUAAGUCACGCUGAUUUCGCAUUAUCCAACAACAUCAAGCUGUAUCAUUUUUGUUCAUUGCAAAAUAUAGUCUCCAAAUUAAUCUUCAUGUCUCUUCAAGAAAUGGUUUUGGUAUUAUGUAGGCCGGUAAUGAUAAUAAUACAACACCAACUCUCUAUCUUUUUGAUCCGUAUAUACGUUUUUAUUUCACAUGAAAAUAUGGCUGGGGUGUUGAUCUGAUUUGAGAAAAGUGGGAGAAAAGAUAAUUGCAGGAAGAAGAUAGAAAAUAUUUGUGCUUUCAGCAAGUGCAGUGAUAUGAUAGGAUCUCAAGAGUGGUUUGAAAUUAUAUAUUGGUAUUUGUACCUUUUUAGUGGUUGGUGUUCAUAUCCAUUGUUUUCUUUUGCAUUGUUAGUGUCUAUAGAAAAUGAGUUAUUUGGGUGUAGGUUUUAGUCCUGGAACAGUUCUAGCGUACCAUAGCACAAACCUGAAAUUGUUCGAUAAGAGGAUCAAGAUAGCUGAGUUGGUGUUAAGGUUUAUAAUUCUUGGUCUUGGAGUUGUUGCAGCUGUUCUUAUUAGAACUGAUUCACUAGUGAAGGUGUUUUUCUCCUUUAAAAAGGAAGCUAAAUUCACUGAUGUUAAGGCUUUAGUAUUCUUGGUUGUUGCGAAUGGUUUGGCUGCUGGAUACUCUUUGAUUCAAGGACUCCGUUGUGUUGUGAGUUUGGUUAGGGGAAGUGUUCUCUUCAACAAGCCCUUAGCUUGGGCCAUUUUCUCUGCUGAUCAGGUCUGGCGUUGAUGAAGAGCUUCAGGUGGUGCUUAUUAAAGGUCAUGUAAAAGCUACUUGAUUGUGGAUGAUAUUCUAACUCAUGAAACUGAAGUUGCUUCACGGCUAAUGAACACGCUCCAAAAAAAGGACCAAUUAUUCUCUGAUUUCGAGGACCUUGGUAAAUGUUUAUUGUGGAUAGAAGCACCAUGAAUUUGGGUUUGUGGGCCACUGCUGGUGAGUUAGUUCACUAUUUAUCAAGUUUUGUUUUUGGAGGGUCUUGAUUUUUCUUAAUUUUAUUUUUAAAUAUGCCAAGAAGAUUACAAUAUAUUAAGAUCUUUAAGCUAUUGUGGAGCUAAUGAAAAUUAAAUGUGAUUAUUAUGCUCAAUUAUGCCUUUUAAAUAUUAUUUGGUUUAGAGAAUUUAUCCAAUUAUUUUAAAUUUGGAUGAAUGAAGAAAGCAAUAAAAGUGACGGUAAAUUUAUUUGAUUUUUUCUUUAGAGUUUCAAUUUUUGUUGUGUUAUGGAUUCUCUUAAUUGGUCAUUUUUGUUAUGGGUAAGUGUUCUUAUACUUGAUAAUUGAUGAGAAUAACAUUUGAUAUAAUCAAUAACAAUUGAUUAAAAUUGCAUCUUAGGGGUUCUACCAGAGCUGUUAACUAAAAGUUAACCCCUAAAAGCUGUGAAGUACAAUUGCAUAAAGCAGUUUAGCUACAAAUGAUCUUAAUUAGUUUAUUGUUUGCUCUUGUUAGUUGUCUAUCACUAUGUUAUCAUGCUAUAACUUUAUUGCAAUUUACUUCUUCUGUUUUAAGAUUAUGAAUUACAGAGUGUUGAUUGGACAAAAGUGAAAUUUGAGGAUAAUCAAGUUUGUUUGGAUUUCUUUGAGAUGAUCUUUUCUACUUAUACAUUUAACCUAUUUAAUAUUUUUUAGUUUCUCCUCUGGAAAAAUGGGACAUUGACUAUUAUAUUCUAUUCUGAACUUAUUGCUCUUAUAAAAAGUUGAGUACUUUUCUUUCUUUUUCCUUUUUUAUUAAAAAAUGUGUUUAGAUCCUAAUAUCAGGCGUUCUUCAGAAUAAUACAAUUAUAUGAGUAGUGAUGCUAAAUUAAAAUACUUAAAAUAAUGAGACUUUUUGAAUAAAAAAUUUUCUUUUUGUGUUUGGGAUCUUCUAAUGAGUUAAAAUCAUGACAAGCUUUGAAUAUUAGGAAAAAAAAUAAUUGAAUACGAUUUUUGUUUAGAGACAUAUAAUUUAUGAAUUUGGUAGAGAUAUAUAAAUCAUUACUUUUAUUUCAUCUUUUUGUACAAGUAGUACUUGAUAUAGAUCUUUUUUCCCUUCAGUCCUUCACAAAAUUGAGAAAGUAUAAAUAAGCUUUAGUAAAAGAGCGUAGGUCAGUUAAGGAGAGUAGGUGAAUCAAUGGGAGUAGGUAAUAUACAUUUCUAAAAUAAUCAUAUCUAUUGAUUAUAUUGUUGAAUAUUAAUAUUCAAGCAAAUAACUACUCUAUUUUAUACCAAAUAUAGUCAUCAAUAGUUACUAAAUUGCUAUAUAAAAAUUGAUUUCAUUUUUUGUUAUUUUCAAACUUUAUUUUUUGCUGUAGUAGAGUAUUAGACUUCACUUUUUUUGUUUAGUUGUUGAUUUUCUACUUUGAAUCUAUUUGCAGCCUUUUUUCUUAAAAUAAUUCAAUACAUUGUUAAGUUAGAACUGGAUCUCUUACUUAUUCAGUGAAAUAACUUCUUUUGAGCCAAAAGUUUGUUCUUAUUUCUCCUUAUUUUUGAGAAUUCUUUGAUAGAUUUGCACUUUGAUUUCGUUGCAUGUUUAAUGAGGUUCAAUAACCAAUAUAUUUAUGUGUUUGCCACAAAACACUCAAUUUUAUUUUGUAAUGUCAUAGAUUCUAAUAACCUUUUUGAUUUCGAAGUAUUUCUUUGUUCAUUCA